GAUGAACGCUGGCGGCGUGCCUAAUACAUGCAAGUCGAGCGAAGCGGGGACGGGUAAGUAACACGUGGAUGACCGCCUAUAAGGAUGGGAUAACUUCGGGAAACCGGAGAUCAACCGGUUACUUAUUGAUGUAUCCUUGCUGCAUUAGCUAGUUGGUAAGGUAACGGCGUACCAAGGCAACGAUGCAUAGCCGACCUGAGAGGUGGAUCGGCCACACUGGAACUGAGACACGGUCCAGACUCCUACGGGAGGCAGCAGUAGGGAAUCUUCCGCAAUGGGCGAAAGCCUGACGGAGCCACGCCGCGUGAGUGAUGAAGGUCUUCGGAUCGUAAAACUCUGUUAUUAGGGAGGCGGUACCUACUCAGAAAGCCCCGGCUAACUACGUGCCAGCAGCCGCGGUAAUUC
RNAcentral lists this ribosomal RNA (405 nucleotides) under uncultured bacterium. RNAcentral describes it as "partial 16S ribosomal RNA". It matches the Rfam family "Bacterial small subunit ribosomal RNA", at positions 28 to 526 of the family's 1533-position model. The record is from RNAcentral.